CUCUCACGGCGUGGCUUCGUUCUCUUCGUUGUCGAGCGGCGUAGUGGGUGCCACCACUUUUCGAGGACGACUACGAAACGAGCUGCUACGUAUCUAGCGCGAAGGCGAAGGAGAGGAAAGAGGAGGCUUCGAUCGGUAGACGUGCCUUCCUCUGAUCAUCCUCAACCAGUCUCACGCGUUGUAGAAAAUAUGGCGGGAACGGAGACGCCAAACGUAAAGUCCGACAUAACGAACCCAUCCUCUGAGACAAACGAAAAUAAUGCAAGAGAAAGGAGCGUUCAAGGCGGAGGUGGAGGUGGCGGUGGAGGUGGUGGAGGAGGAGGAGGUGGCGGCGGCGGCGGCGGCGGCGGAAGUAACCGUGGACCUCGUGGUAGAAAAGGAGGUACAAGAUUUUCCGGCGGACGUGGCGGUGGAAUGAUGGGUGGAAGAAACGAUGGACCGAUGAAAAUGAGUGAUUCCAUGAUAGAUGGUGGCUUAGAUAAUACAAUGUCGGAAGGAAUGGGAGGUAUGGGAGGAAUGGGUGGUAUGGGUGGUAUGGGAGCUCGUGGAGGCGGUAUGCGUGGUGGUAGAGGCGGCAGAGGUGGAGACCGAAAUAUGGGAAAUCGUUCUCAAGAUGAUCGAUUAAUGGAACGGAUAAUGGCUAUAAGUGGCCCUACACAUGAGUUGCCACCUCAAGAAACUGCAGAAAAGAAAUUCAGUGGUCGUAAUCGCCUAUAUAUUGGUAAUCUUACAAAUGAUGUUACCGAAGAAGAAAUCCAGGCGAUGUUCGCACAGUAUGGUGAAAUAUCCGAACUAUUUGUGAACAAGGAAAAGAAUUUUGCAUUUCUUAGAAUGGAUUAUCGAGUAAAUGCAGAAAAAGCAAAACAUGAGUUAGAUGGAACUAUGCGUAAAGGUCGUGCUCUUAAAGUACGAUUCGCUCCUCAUUCUUCUACGAUAAAAAUAAAGAAUCUCACUCCAUGGAUUUCGAAUGAAUUGUUAGAGAGGGCAUUCAGUGUAUUUGGAGAAAUUGAACGUGCAAUCGUUAUUGUUGACGACAGAGGGAAGUCUACGGGCGAAGGUAUCGUUGAAUACUGCAGAAAACCAUCAGCGCAACUUGCUUUGAGAAAAUGUACGGAAGGGUGUUAUUUCCUUACUGCAUCUCUUCGGCCUGUAGUUGUCGAACCUUUUGAACAACAAGACGAUAUCGAUGGUUAUCCUGAUAAAAAUUUACCACGUAAGAAUCCCGAAUUUUUCAAGGCUCGUGAAAUUGGACCAAGAUUCGCGCAAAUAGGUAGUUUUGAACACGAAUAUGGAACAAGGUGGAAACAGUUACAUGAAUUAUAUAAGCAAAAAGAAGAAGCAUUAAAACGAGAAAUGGCAAUGGAAGAAGAAAAAUUAGAAGCUCAAAUGGAAUUUGCAAGAUACGAGCAUGAAACUGAAUUACUUAGAGAACAAUUACGUAUGCGUGAAGCUGAUAGAGAAAGACAGAAGAGAGAAUGGGAAAUGAAGGAACGACAAGCGGAAGAACAGAGAACACGAGAAGAAGAAUUAAGGAGACGUCAACAAGAAGAAAUGGCGAUCCGUAUAAGACGGCAAGAAGAAGAACUACACAGGCGACAACAAGAAAAUAAUUUGUUCAUGCAGGGCUCUGCUCCUUUUAUUUUUAAGGAGCAAGCGAUGAGAGGUGGUGGUGCAGGCGGCGGUGGUGGUGGUGGUCUCGGAGGCGGAAAGAAUUAUGAUUCCGUUAGUAAUAGUGAUCGCGACGGUUAUGGCCAACCGGACGGUGGAAGCAGUAUGCCAGUGAUUAUAGCAGCUGCUGGUUGAAGAAACAAUUUGAUUAUCGUUAUCGAGUUAUACUUACUGGAAUGAAGAAAUAUGUGAUCGGGAAAGCACAUGAUAAUGGAACAUGUCCAGGAUAGGGAAAUUAAGGAUUUUUAAAAAAAUGGGAAAAUGCUAUCGAGUCCGUAUUCUAUAACCAGAAAAGAGUAUAAUACUGCGCAUGGAAAUAUUUUAUGGAAAUAAAGAUUUCACAUUGAAUUACAAAUUGUUGGAAGGAAGAAUUUUCGUGGAUGAUGGCGAUAAUGAUACAGUGUUUCAGAUUAUGGCCAAAAUCUAUCCGUAAAUGUAUGUUUAAUGAAAUUAUUACAAGUAUGUUUGCUAUAGUUCGAUAUAAAUUGUUACGUAUCUAUAGUAGACCACAAAUUCGUAACUUAUAACCGCGCUAUUGGCGAUCGAGAAUGCCAACGAAGCUUCGCAAGCACGGUUGGAAUUUUGCCUGGAAUCUGGAAUGUAACGUCGUAUGUUCUCCUCCAUUGUCAUGGAAGAUAAUAUUAACUGAUGAACUAUUGGCUAGAGUCCUGAUAUUAAAGAUGACAAAUCACGUUCAAAAACUGAUACCUAAAAGACAAAAGUCUACGAAUCUUCGUAUCUGAUUAUUUUACAUUAAAAAAUAUAUUAUUCUAUUGUUUGUUAUAGAAUGAAAAUAACUGAAUCUACAUAACGAAGAAAUAUAUGAGCUAAAUAAAUAAAUCGGUGGCCAUUAAUAACAACGUUUAGUUAGAAGAGGAUUCAAUUAUAAUUAUUAAUUAGUAAGAAACUUUCAAUGAAAAUUAUUUGUAACAAAUAAUUAUGAACUACCUAACACAUUUUACUACCUUUAUAAAUGAUCCUUUUUUCGAAGUAUUUACGAAUAUUAUUAGUUCUUGAGAUAUAUUACUCUAUGAAUAAAAGGAAUGUUUCUUCUUUAUUUUGUGUGGCACACUGAUCUAUAUAAUUUUUUGAAAAAGGGUGAAGACGUUUACCUAUAUGAAUUAUUUUUAGAAUAUAUUUGUCAUCUAUUUGCUACUAUGCUAACUUUAUAUAUAUCUCCAAUUGAAAAUAGACUCGAAGUAAAAAUUGUUUUAAAGGAGAUAGAAUGCACUUUCCUUUCAACCCCUUUGCUCUAUAAUAUCGUGUAAGAGUUAUGCAUAUGCUUUUUGCAAGUCUUAUAAAUAUAAGAAACACGAGUUUAGACUCAUAGUACGUAUAUUAUAGAACUACACAAGUAAUAUAUAGGAUAUAAGAAGUAUUUAAAGGUAAAUCGAGAGUCAUGUUUGUCGUUAAUCGUCGUCAGACAUUGUCAAGGAUCAGAAAAACACGAGUGAGUCCGUGAUUGAAUUUUUACAGAUGCAUUAGAAAUUUUGUUUGCUGACUGAUUUUAGCAUGUGCCGUCACGACAUAAAUCAUACUACAAGGAUUAAUAUACAAUUUAUCAAAAUGGCUGUGAUGUAAAUUUAAAAUUAGAAUUAAUGGCCACCGAUGUACAUGAUUGUGAGAAAUAAAUGAAAUUUUUUUGAUUUUUAAUAUAUAUGUGUAUAUAUACAUAUACACACACACAUACACCUCUUUGUACUUCAUUUGUAUUUCAAUAAUGGGGAAAUAAAAGGAGCAGGGAGGGGUUGAAAAAGGGAGUGUCUUGUCUCAUGAUUUGAGCAAUCAUAGUAAAAUGUGUGUGUCGUGAAAAAAGCUUCGACAACAUUUUUAUUGUUAACCGCAGAAAAAGCCAUAUACACUUUCACACGAAAUCGAUCAUAGUUUAUAAUAAUAUCGAAAAAUUUACGGUAAUUAAACAUUGUUGUACAUAAAUAUAAAGAUGACAUUGCACGUUC
Vespa velutina is the source of this 3626-nucleotide RNA transcript. It is a transcript of the gene named hrp65 protein-like, with no coding region annotated. The transcript has 13 exons. The record is from RefSeq and is a predicted model, not a curated record. Lineage: Eukaryota; Metazoa; Arthropoda; Insecta; Hymenoptera; Vespidae.